This 92-nucleotide non-coding RNA is filed under the name Hydrocarboniphaga effusa AP103. Its description in RNAcentral is "Burkholderia RNA 7 (anti-hemB)". It matches the Rfam family "Burkholderia RNA 7 (anti-hemB)". From Rfam's summary of the family: This RNA motif was identified by computational search in b-proteobacteria Burkholderia. Co-purified with Hfq, expression confirmed by Northern blot. Lineage: Bacteria; Pseudomonadati; Pseudomonadota; Gammaproteobacteria; Nevskiales; Nevskiaceae. The record is from Rfam by way of RNAcentral.
UCCCCGCCUCUACUCCCUGGGCGGGUCCGGCAUCCCCCAAGCCGGAGCUUGUUGCCCCGUGAGUCUCCCCCCGGCUCACGGGGCAUUUUCUU